AACGCACAUUGCGCCUCCCUGAAAAGGGAGGCAUGCCUGUCUGAGCGUCUUUUAAAUCUCAUGGGCUUCAGCUUUGUAGCCCGAGUUGGGCCUCGCCCCCUAUGUCUGGGGGGCGUCGCCUCAAAGGCAUCGGCAUCGAUGUCGAGCGGACGAGUCCCUCUAGGGCCCCACGCGCUCCAUUCGAUGCGGUGAAUAGUCGUAUGACUGACACCAGACCUCAGAUCAGGUAGGAACACCGCCUGAACUUAA
Molecule: unclassified non-coding RNA, 249 nt
Filed under: uncultured fungus
Lineage: Eukaryota; Fungi
Description: partial contains 5.8S ribosomal RNA, internal transcribed spacer 2, and large subunit ribosomal RNA
Source: RNAcentral